GGCGAAAAUUGGGCAGAUAUAAUGGUACCAUCAUGGCCAUUCAUUGAUGCAGUACAACGAGUAACAGCACGGACACGAAAUACAGCUUGAGGAGUGUAGAGUAACGUUAAGUGAUCCUCAGUUUUCAUAAGUCCAUUGUGAAAUACAGAAGUGUAUAAAUUAUCUUGAAUUUCGAUAGUUUCAUCUUCAUGAUGAAGAGCAAAAUUAUACGGAACAGGAUCGUCGGACUGUGAGGAUUAUGUUAGCACAUUUACAGAAAAAAAACUUUCAUUCUUACAUUCUCUAAUAAUUGGUUCAACAAGGCUUCCAAUUGCCUAACAGAACUAUUUCCAGGAACUAAAAGUGAUGCCAGUUCAUUGCUAUCAUCUGACGCCCGAAACUGAACGUUAACGAGCGGGAAUUUUUCAGGAAUUUCUAUAGUAGUAGGAUUUAAGCUCUCCUUUUUUUGACGUUUACUUUUAGGAGGCAGUAAAGUCGCCAUUUUAGAAGGAUUUAAAAAAGGAAGGAUUUGGU
Molecule: non-coding RNA, 513 nt
Organism: Schizosaccharomyces pombe (fission yeast)
Lineage: Eukaryota; Fungi; Ascomycota; Schizosaccharomycetes; Schizosaccharomycetales; Schizosaccharomycetaceae
Source: the annotation of a GenBank genome assembly